RNAcentral lists this ribosomal RNA (301 nucleotides) under uncultured bacterium. Its description in RNAcentral is "partial 16S ribosomal RNA". It matches the Rfam family "Bacterial small subunit ribosomal RNA", at positions 509 to 807 of the family's 1533-position model. The record is from RNAcentral.
CAGCAGCCGCGGGAAUACGGAGGGGGCUAGCGUUGUUCGGAAUUACUGGGCGUAAAGCGCACGUAGGCGGCUUUGUAAGUUAGAGGUGAAAGCCUGGAGCUCAACUCCAGAAUUGCCUUUAAGACUGCAUCGCUUGAAUCGCGGAGAGGUGAGUGGAAUUCCGAGUGUAGAGGUGAAAUUCGUAGAUAUUCGGAAGAACACCAGUGGCGAAGGCGGCUCACUGGACGCGUAUUGACGCUGAGGUGCGAAAGCGUGGGGAGCAAACAGGAUUAGAUACCCGUGUAGUCCCUGUCUCUUAUAC